AUCUCCAAACAUAUUUUUAAGUGACUGAUGUUUAUUUUUUCAGUGUGGGGCCCCACACACCUACAUGUUAGCUCAUGCAAACUUAGGUUUGGCAGCCUGGUGAUGUACGAGUGGGAUAAAUAACUCUCAAUGGCAUGCGGUGUCUCAAAAAGGCCUUUUUUUCACUGGCAGGAGACAAUAUUUACUCUGAGGAACAGAGACCACAGAGACACCGGGUGGCAGGUGUUACCUUUUCGCCCACAUCAUCAUCCACAAUCGCAGAGACAUGGUCCAUGAUCAGAGAGACAUUGUUGAGGAUGAGGGAGACAUUGUCCAGAUCAGACACAUUGUCCUUGACUUACAUAGACAUGCACAAAGGUCUGUAGUGACGGAGUUCCCUGAUUUGGCGGCAUCGUCCAUGAUCAGACAUUGACAAUGAUCACAGAGACUCUGUCCAUAAUAUCAGAGAUGGGCCACCAGCUGAAUUAACAGAAACAAAAUAAUCCACCAGGUGAAGGAGGAGGAGAAGUCAACAGCAGCUCAAGACCUGAAGUGGAUGAAAGAAAACAAGUGUUAUGAAGUUGUUAAUUAGAUAAGACUUUCACCAUCUAACAUGAAGUCAUGGGCACAUUUUCUAAAGACUUUACUAAGCACCUUUAUGAACAAUCAACGACUUAUGACGUACGUGUUCAUCUUUGGAAAAUAUGCUCGUAAGAAGUUUCCUUGUGGUCAAAUGUCAUUAUCUUUGCUGUGGUUUAUUAAAUGCUGUGUGGAAUAAAAUCAUUAAGUGUCUUUCUAAACUUUUGAGUUGCAUUUCUCUAUUUUGUAACUGAAAUUAUUCAGAUCAUUUUAUUGCAUUUUAUUUUAAGAAAAAAUGUAAUGAUUCAAGUUUUACACUCAC
Molecule: long non-coding RNA, 880 nt
Organism: Lates calcarifer (barramundi perch)
Lineage: Eukaryota; Metazoa; Chordata; Actinopteri; Centropomidae
Exons: 4
Source: RefSeq, a predicted model, not a curated record